GAGCCUCUCUCCUAAUUGUGUCUCACAGAUGCAUAGUGAGGAGGUUAUUCAGCUUGUAUUUACAUCAUUACCCAUCUACCAUCAGAGUGUAUUGCUAACUGGUUCUCCUUACAAAUGCUUGUUGUGUUUGUUUUGUGUUUUUAAUUUUAUGUUCCACUGCUUGUCUACUUUUUCAUUGUUUUUAAUCCAAACUUCUACUUCAGCCUCUGCUCAUGAAGUCUCCCUCUCCCGAGUCCUUUGGGCUGCAAUAAUCAGACUCAAGCUGAGUGGAGACACACACUGAACAGAUGACAUGCCAGCCAAACUUGCCCCAAAAGUUGGGGAGGGAAAUGGUGCUCAACUGAAGGCAGCUGCUCUUGGGAGAGUCUUGACAGAGACCUCUGCAGCGAUAGUGCCUGGCAUCAGUGAUUGACGGGGAGCCAUCUGAUCAACUUUUGUUUCUGAAGGAAAACCCUGAGGAAACUCACUACCAUCCUCAGUGGCUGGUGGAUGGAUAAAGAGGUGGAAAGCAAGUUGAGUGAGCAGAAACUAUGAAGAGCCAUGAGCAGUUCCGGGGGAGCAGCUGCGAGCAUCAUGGAAGGCCUCUGCCCUGUCGGAGAAGCCGGGAUCCUCUUCAGCUUGGACACUACAUCAGUGACACUGGCAUCUCCCCCAUGCCAGGUGUCCAGAUUAAUCAGGAGACCAUUGUAGAUGAGGCAUCGCUCUAGGACCUGGUACCUGCUUGUGCUUUGUCCAGAACUGAGCUCAGAACUUGCCCAGUUCUACCACAUGUCUGAAAACUUCUUCCUUCCUGUCCACAUCAUUCCGUAGUUGUCUCUGAGAUAUGUCUAUUUACAAGAAGAUACUCUGAAAAGGGCCAAGUCAGAAAUGACAUCUUGAUGUAUCCAGCCAGCCAGCAGUCUCAGUAGCCACUAAAAAAUUAGGUCAGUAGUUAAAAAUACUUUUACAAAGAAAAGCCCAGGCUUGGAUAGUUUUAUAAGAAUUACACCAAACAUUCAAGGAAUAGUUAAUAGUUCAUUCAAAUCUUAUACAAAUUCUUUCAGAUAAUAAAAAAAGAAAAAGAAAAACUCCUUAGCAAAUAUGUGAGAUAAAUAUAAACACAAUAUGAAAUUCACAUAGAGAUAAUUCGAGACAGGAAAAAUGAUUUACUCAUGAACAUAAAUGCAAAAAUCCUUUAAAAAUAUUGGCAAACUGAAUCCAAGAAUAUGUGAAAAAUAUAACACACCAUGAUAAAUUUGCAUCAUCCUAUAAAUGCAAAAUAUAUUUUGUAUUAAAAAAUCUAGUUUAGUUCAUGAAAUUAACAAAUUAAAUAAUUAUUUCAAUACUAUUAGAUAAACUUUAAACAUAUGUGGUCUCCUAGCUCUCCAAAGACCUCAUACUAAAAUAAUAGUUCUUCUUAAUAGAAGGAGCAAGGAAUUAUUGUUCCCAAAUGUUUUUACACACCUCCCCGCUAUGAGAGAAGUGUACUUCCUGGUUGGCUGACAUCCAGCCUGGGCCAUGUGACUUGCUCUGCCAGGAGUAGCAGGAAAGCAGAAAUGAUGUCUAUUAAGUCUUGAAAGAGGCUUUAAGAGCUAAUACACUCUUCUCCCACAUCCCCUCCUCAAGGGUCUCACUCCUAAAUAAAUGUUACUUUUUCAACUUCCAUCCCAGAAUAAAAAAGCAUGUGGAGCAGAAAUGGAACAGAGUAGAGGCCAGCUCAGUUUCCAUGUUAUAAAACCAAAUAGACAUCUUUGUUGCAGUAAGCCCCCAUGAUCUGGAUGUUGUUUGCUAUCACAAUAUAACUUACUCUGUGAUGAUUGCUAUUUUAAAAAGAGUACCUACCAAAAAUUUGUAGCGCAAACCAUACUUACUAAUAAAAAAUUAACCUUACUCCCUUUAAAAUAAAAAACAACAGUGAUGCCUUUGAUUCAACAUUGUGCAGUAAGAUAAGGAAAAAUAAAAUGUAGGAAUUAUAAAAGGAAAUACUAAGCUUUGGUUAUUUGCAGGUAAUAUGAUUGUUUAUAUAGAAACUCCUCAAGAAUAUGGACAUAAUUUAACAAAACAGAGCACCUAAAAUACCAACAAAAUCAUAAUACAUCCAGGAAUAAAUCUAACAAAAUUUGUGCAAGACUUCUUUGAAAUUAUAUAUGUUAUUAAAAUACAUUAAAGUAAACGUAAAUAAAUGCAUAUAUUAUUUAUCUAUUUAUUUAUUUAUUAUUAUUAUUUUUUUUUGAGAUGAGGUCUCACUAUGUUGCCCAGGUUGGUCUCGAACUCCUGGGCUCAAGUGAUCUGUUCACCUUGGCCUCCCAAAAUGCUGGGAUUACAAGCAUGAGCCACCACACCUGGCCUUAUAUUUAUUUUGUAUACAUAUAAUAUUUGUGAUAGAAGGACACAAUAUAUUAAAAGUUUGGUCAUUCUCUUCAAAUUGCUCUAUAAAUAAAAUGCAAUUCCUUUCAAAUUCAAUCCAGAGCUGUUUGCAGAACUUGAUAAGCAGAUUCUAAAAUUUUUAUGGAAAAAUGAAGCACAAGAAUAGCUGAAACACCCCUGUAGAGGAUGAACAGGAUGAGGCGAGCUGUUUUGCCAGUUUUCAUUGCCCUGUGUAUAUAAUAAAGCUUUGAUUAAUUAAGAGAGCAUAAUAUGGCACAGGAACAUAGGAUAGACCAGUGGAUCAGCACAGAGCGUGUAGAAACAAGCCCACACAUAAAAUGAAAUCUAGUAUAUAACUGGAAUGUCACUGCGGAUCAGUAAGAAUGGGUUGCUCAAUAAAUGAUGCUAUGAUCAUUUGUUUUCUAUAUGGACAACAACAACACAAAAAAGAAUACACAAAAAUAAAUAAAAGGGAAAAAGAUUUAGAUAUGGAAACCACAAACUUAAGACUUUGGGGAAAAAUAUAGAAUAUUUCUAUGAUCUUGGAGCAGGAAAAAAAUGAUGAAAACAAGACCCGAAAAGCACAAAUAUAAAUGAAAAGAUAAGAAAGUUAACUGAGUUAAAAUUAAUAACACUUCUUAAUCAAAAGAUUCCUAAAUGCAAAGAUAAGCAAAAAGGAAAAGUCUGCCUCCCCCAAAAGCAGUGGUAAAACAUAGGAAUAAACACUUCACAGAAGAGUCAGCCCAAAUAGCUAUUAAAUAAAUGAAAAAUGUUCAACCUUUUAAAUAAUGAAGAUGUUGCAAGAUAAAACCACAAUAAGUUAAAGUUUUAUACUAAAAUGUUGGUAAGGAUGGAGAUCACUGCAAAACAAACUGUAUAUAUAUAUAUAUAUAUAUAUAUAUAUAUAUAUAUAUAUAUAUAUAUAUAUAUGCUAUGUAGCUUUCUACAACCACUCUGUAUAACAAUUUGGUCAUAGUAAAGUAAAAAUAUGCAUAUCCUAUGACCAGGAAAUCUCACACACACACACACACAAAAUGCACAUGCUUAUGUGUACACACAAUCCCUAAAAAUACCCUUGAACAGGGGCACCCAGAGAUAUGUACAAGUAUAUUCAUAGAACCAUUAUGUGUGCUUAGCUACUAUUACAACCAUUAACACGGUUGAAGCCCGCAAACAAAAAAUUAAUGAAAAAGCAAGAUGCAGGAUACACAUACUAUGGUUUAUAUAAAGAUCAAAAAAUAACAAAAGUAUACUGCAUAUGGUUGAGAAUAGCCAGGGCUGACUAUAUAAUUUUUAGGCUCAGGGCAAAAUGAAAAUGUGGGAUCCCUUUGUUCCAAAAGCAGGGGAAAAGCUUUUAUCUUUCUUUCAUGGUCUAUCUCUGUAGGAUAAUGGCCAUAGUAUCUUGAUAAUUCAUAGAAAAAAAAACUAUAUUAACUCUAAACAUUUGAAAAAGCACUCAACUUACAAAAUACACAAAGAAACCAUUUUUAACCCAUUGGAUUGACAAAUAGAAAAAAUUGAUAACACACUCUCUUACCAAGACACUCUCAAAUAGUGCUAAUGGAGAAAUGAAAGGACACAGCCAUUUUCAAUAAUAAUUUGUCAAUAUCUUUCAAAAUUUCACAUCAAAUACUCUUUGAUUCUAUGGGAACUUCUCCUAUAUGUUUGAAAUUAUACAUGUAAAAGGAUGUUAAUUGCAGCAUUUUAUAAUUCCAAAAGAUUGGAAAUACCCUAACUAGCCUAAAGCAAGAGAGAGGUCAUAUCUGGGUCUUUGGAAGGAUAAUGGAAUGAUAUGUUAUGCAACCAUUAAAAUAUUGAGGUAGGUCUGUCUGUGCUAAUAAAUGAUCAC
RNAcentral lists this long non-coding RNA (4195 nucleotides) under Homo sapiens (human). RNAcentral describes it as "non-protein coding lnc-EPSTI1-3:1". The record is from RNAcentral. Lineage: Eukaryota; Metazoa; Chordata; Mammalia; Primates; Hominidae.